This 379-nucleotide ribosomal RNA is filed under the name uncultured eukaryote. Its description in RNAcentral is "partial 18S ribosomal RNA". It matches the Rfam family "Eukaryotic small subunit ribosomal RNA", at positions 592 to 976 of the family's 1831-position model. The record is from RNAcentral.
CAAUAGCGUAUAUUAAAGUUGUUGCAGUUAAAAAGCUCGUAGUUGGAUUUCUGGUUUCCUGUUUUCCCGACUCGAAUGAGUAUGAGGAGAGUGGGGAUGCCAUAUUUGUGAGGGCCUUUUCUGUCAUUAACUUGAUGGGAUUGUGAAUCACAUCUUUUACUGUGAAAAAAUUAGAGUGUUUAAAGCAGGCAUUUCGCUGUGAAUACAUUAGCAUGGAAUAAUAAGAUAGGACUUUGGUGCUAUUUUAUUGGUUUGCACACCAAAGUAAUGAUUAACAGGGACAGUUGGGGGUAUUCGUAUUUAGUUGUCAGAGGUGAAAUUCUUGGAUUUACGAAAGACGAACUACUGCGAAAGCAUUUACCAAGGAUGUUUUCAUUAA